RNAcentral lists this ribosomal RNA (233 nucleotides) under Goniomonas pacifica. RNAcentral's name for it is "partial Bacterial small subunit ribosomal RNA". It matches the Rfam family "Bacterial small subunit ribosomal RNA", at positions 836 to 1070 of the family's 1533-position model. The record is from RNAcentral. Lineage: Eukaryota; Cryptophyceae; Goniomonadida; Goniomonadaceae.
GUUUUCCGCGCCGUAGCUAACGCAUUAAGUGCCCCGCCUGGGGAGUACGGCCGCAAGGCUAAAACUCAAAGGAAUUGACGGGGGCCCGCACAAGCGGUGGAGCAUGUGGCUUAAUUCGAUGCAACGCGAGGAACCUUACCUGGGCUAAAUUCACAGUGCUAUCUCUGGAAACAGGGAGUCCCUUCGGGGCGCUAUGGAAGGUGCUGCAUGGCUGUCGUCAGCUCGUGCCGUGA